UUUAUCAAAAAUCACAAAUUUAGGGUUUAGAGUUAAAGGGUGGGAUUUAGGAUUUAGGGUUUAGGGUUUAGGAUUUAGAGUUUAGGGUUUAGGGUUUAGAGUUUAGGGUUUAGGAUUUAGGGUUUAGAGUUUAGAGUUUAGGGUUUAGGGUUUAGGGUUUAGUGUUUAGGGUUUAGAGUUGAGAAAUGAGGUUUUGGGGAUAAGAUUUCA
RNAcentral lists this long non-coding RNA (210 nucleotides) under Brassica napus (rape). Its description in RNAcentral is "long non-coding RNA (BNAP_LNC009233)". The record is from RNAcentral. Lineage: Eukaryota; Viridiplantae; Streptophyta; Magnoliopsida; Brassicales; Brassicaceae.